UUCAGCAGCCCCGGGUAAUUCCAGCUCCAAUAGCGUAUAUUAAAGUUGUUGCAGUUAAAAAGCUCGUAGUUGAACCUUGGGUCUGGCUGGCCGGUCCGCCUCACCGCGAGUACUGGUCCGGCUGGACCUUUCCUUCUGGGGAACCUCAUGGCCUUCACUGGCUGUGGGGGGAACCAGGACUUUUACUGUGAAAAAAUUAGAGUGUUCAAAGCAGGCCUUUGCUCGAAUACAUUAGCAUGGAAUAAUAGAAUAGGACGUGCGGUUCUAUUUUGUUGGUUUCUAGGACCGCCGUAAUGAUUAAUAGGGAUAGUCGGGGGCGUCAGUAUUCAGCUGUCAGAGGUGAAAUUCUUGGAUUUGCUGAAGACUAACUACUGCGAAAGCAUUCGCCAAGGAUGUUUUCAUUAAUCAGGGAACGAAAGUUAGGGGAUCGAAGACGAUCAGAUACCGUCGUAGUCUUAACCAUAAACUAUGCCGACUAGGGAUCGGACGGGAUUCUAUGAUGACCCGUUCGGCACCUUACGAGAAAUCAAAGUUUUUGGGUUCUGGGGGGAGUAUGGUCGCAAGGCUGAAACUUAAAGAAAUUGACGGAAGGGCACCACAAGGCGUGGAGCCUGCGGCUUAAUUUGACUCAAACACGGGAAA
This 642-nucleotide ribosomal RNA is filed under the name Penicillium sp. RNAcentral's name for it is "SSU rRNA". It matches the Rfam family "Eukaryotic small subunit ribosomal RNA", at positions 566 to 1212 of the family's 1831-position model. The record is from RNAcentral. Lineage: Eukaryota; Fungi; Ascomycota; Eurotiomycetes; Eurotiales; Aspergillaceae.